Molecule: ribosomal RNA, 465 nt
Filed under: uncultured bacterium
Lineage: Bacteria
Description: partial 16S ribosomal RNA
Rfam family: Bacterial small subunit ribosomal RNA
Source: RNAcentral
CCUACGGGUGACAGCAGUAGGGAAUCUUCCACAAUGGGCGAAAGCCUGAUGGAGCAACGCCGCGUGGGUGAAGAAGGUCUUCGGAUCGUAAAACUCUGUUGUUAGAGAAGAAAGUGCGUGAGAGUAACUGUUCACGUUUCGACGGUAUCUAUCCAGAAAGCCACGGCGAACUACGUGCCAGCAGCCGCGGUAAUACGUAGGUGGCAAGCGUUAUCCGGAUUUAUUGGGCGUAAAGGGAACGGAGGCGGUCUUUUAAGUCUGAUGUGAAAGCCUUCGGCUUAACCGGAGUAGUGCAUUGGAAACUGGGAGACUUGAGUGCAGAAGAGGAGAGUGGAACUCGAUGUGUAGCGGUGAAAUGCGUAGAUAUAUGGAAGAACACCAGUGGCGAAGGCGGCUCUCUGGUCUGUAACUGACGCUGAGGUUCGAAAGCGUGGGUAGCAAACAGGAUUAGAUACCCUUGUAGUC